This 459-nucleotide ribosomal RNA is filed under the name uncultured bacterium. RNAcentral's name for it is "partial 16S ribosomal RNA". It matches the Rfam family "Bacterial small subunit ribosomal RNA", at positions 338 to 795 of the family's 1533-position model. The record is from RNAcentral.
CCUACGGGAGGCUGCAGUGAGGAAUAUUGGUCAAUGGGCGUGAGCCUGAACCAGCCAAGUCGCGUGAGGGAAGACGGUCCUACGGAUUGUAAACCUCUUUUGUCGGGGAGCAAACGACGCCACGCGUGGCGUUCCGAGAGUACCCGAAGAAAAAGCAUCGGCUAACUCCGUGCCAGCAGCCGCGGUAAUACGGAGGAUGCGAGCGUUAUCCGGAUUUAUUGGGUUUAAAGGGUGCGCAGGCGGAAUGCCAAGUCAGCGGUAAAAUUGAGGGGCUCAACCUCUUCGAGCCGUUGAAACUGGUGUUCUUGAGUGAGCGAGAAGUAUGCGGAAUGCGUGGUGUAGCGGUGAAAUGCAUAGAUAUCACGCAGAACUCCGAUUGCGAAGGCAGCAUACCGGCGCUCAACUGACGCUGAUGCACGAAAGUGUGGGUAUCGAACAGGAUUAGAUACCCUUGUAGUC